AAGUAAAAAAUCGUAACAAGGUUUCCGUAGGUGAACCUGCGGAAGGAUCAUUACCGAGUGAGGGCCCUCUGGGUCCAACCUCCCACCCGUGUCUAUCGUACCUUGUUGCUUCGGCGGGCCCGCCGUUUCGACGGCCGCCGGGGAGGCCUUGCGCCCCCGGGCCCGCGCCCGCCGAAGACCCCAACAUGAACGCUGUUCUGAAAGUAUGCAGUCUGAGUUGAUUAUCGUAAUCAGUUAAAACUUUCAACAACGGAUCUCUUGGUUCCGGCAUCGAUGAAGAACGCAGCGAAAUGCGAUAAGUAAUGUGAAUUGCAGAAUUCAGUGAAUCAUCGAGUCUUUGAACGCACAUUGCGCCCCCUGGUAUUCCGGGGGGCAUGCCUGUCCGAGCGUCAUUGCUGCCCUCAAGCACGGCUUGUGUGUUGGGCCCCCGUCCCCCUCUCCCGGGGGACGGGCCCGAAAGGCAGCGGCGGCACCGCGUCCGGUCCUCGAGCGUAUGGGGCUUUGUCACCUGCUCUGUAGGCCCGGCCGGCGCCAGCCGACACCCAACUUUAUUUUUCUAAGGUUGACCUCGGAUCAGGUAGGGAUACCCGCUGAACUUAAGCAUAUCAAAAGCCCGGAGGAA
Molecule: ribosomal RNA, 622 nt
Filed under: Aspergillus fumigatus
Lineage: Eukaryota; Fungi; Ascomycota; Eurotiomycetes; Eurotiales; Aspergillaceae
Description: eukaryotic LSU rRNA
Rfam family: 5.8S ribosomal RNA (bases 239-392)
Source: RNAcentral